UUUUUUAUCUCGAACUAAUACACAUAUGUCAAAACAUGACCUCCGGGAUUUAAAUUUCCAUGAGUGUUUACCUAAGAUUAUCUUUUAUAGAAUUUUGAUAAAUAAUUAGUGAUACAUUGUUAAUGUUCAUGAAAAGUAUUUAAAAUGUUUACAAAACAAUUAAUUUGUCAUUUACACUAAUGAGCUUGGGUGUGUAUAAAGUGAGGAUUAUGGCUUCCGUUGAUGAUCACCUAAAAACUACUCAAACGCCGUCUUUAAUCUUUUUAUAUUUUCUUUUGAAAAGAAAGAGUGAGAUAAAACAAAAUGAAUAGAAAUCAAAAUUUUCUUAAAUCUAUUGUGUCCGAGAAUAAACAAUUUUGUCAGCUAUAACCGAACUGAAUAACGAAACUAUCGAUUGGAAAUUACUCUCUUAGAAAAGCUAUAGGAUUUGUUUUAAAUUGAAACAAUUGAAUAAAUAAAAAUAAUGUCAUUAUAAUAAUAAAAGACUGUGACAUACAAAUACAUCGAUCUGAUACUAGAAUAUCGAUCCCCUUGUCAUAUUCACCCGGAUUUAUUUUAGCUUUACCAAGCUAAGCAAGAGUUGUGUCCCUUAGAUUGUCGAACUUCCGGU
This 610-nucleotide long non-coding RNA is filed under the name Mytilus galloprovincialis (Mediterranean mussel). Lineage: Eukaryota; Metazoa; Mollusca; Bivalvia; Mytilida; Mytilidae. The record is from RNAcentral.